This is a long non-coding RNA of Rattus norvegicus (Norway rat), 3231 nucleotides long. RefSeq lists it as uncharacterized. Lineage: Eukaryota; Metazoa; Chordata; Mammalia; Rodentia; Muridae. The record is from RefSeq and is a predicted model, not a curated record.
CUUCAGCCUCUGUCCCCCUCUUUGAGUUGCUAAGGUGCCUGUUUGCUGAACCCCCCGCCCUCAGUUCUGCAGAUCCUGCAGGUUGGUGGGCAGUGGUUCCACGGGCAAAGUAGGAGGAGCCAACCAGGGGCCCCAGAGGGGCUUGAGCUGGCCAGAUGAAGGCCUUCCCCUCAGCAGCCCAUUUUAGCCUUAUGCCAGGUUAGGGGAAGAGCUCGGAACACAAUGUUCAGGAAAAACAGCCUUGUCUGCCUCAUGUAAUUUCUCCAUUACCCCUUAGUUUUCCUGACAGGGAAGUGGAUACUUGAGGGUGUGUUGUUGGUUCAAGUACCUGGGAAGCCCCAGUAAUUGGUAGGCGUGGGGACCUGACCCCCACCCUCUCCACUCAGCCUGUCCACUCAAGCUAUGGUUUGGGGGAGGGGGGAAGUCCAAUAUGGUGCCCACUCAGACACAUGUCUCCCAGGGAGUAAAACUAUAUUGACUGACUAACCGACAUACUUCCUUCUUGACCACUCUGCCUUCCAUUCCCCUGCAUGAGGCAUACAGGGACCAAAUGCUCCUCAGGGCCUCUGUAUCUGCUAUUUUUGCCUACUCGGAAAGCUCACUCUUUAACCAUUCUGGAAAAUGGGGUCAGGUGAACCUAGGGUGUGAGCCUUCCACUCCAGACCCAUCACCCCAAUCCUUCUAAUUCCAUGUUCUGACCUGGUCUAGGGACUACCCAAAGGAUCAGUAUCUCCGAGAGACCAUGACUCGACUCGGGUGGAGUAGGCUGACCAGUACUUGGUCUGGGGCUUCUCAUUAGGCUGUUGUAUGCUCUUCUGUGAACUUACUCAACACCCUCAAUGGGGAAGCUCCCCUGUCUGCUCACCACUCCCCAGGAGUCCCUGGCCUCCUUUCUGCCUGAUGUCUAGAGGGAGGCUGGAGUGGGCGCUCACUCUCUCAUACAAGCCACAGCUCCUCCCUCACAUUAGCCAUUUCCACUUCUGAGAGUUGAGCCACCCGGCUCAGAUACCCAGACCCUCACUGGCUCUCUAACCCUGUCUCAAGAGGCCCCUUCCCCAGUACUUCACCCUGGAUACGGCCUUAGGACAGGGAUCCCGAGCGCCAGGCUGGCUGGAAAGACCCCACCAGCUGAACACUCCACACACCUGGUUGGUGACUGUGUGGGGCUCUGGAGACCGCCACCCACCUGCCUGACUCCUGCCCAGACCUGUGGUUGUGCCUGUCAAUGUCAGAUGCAGGCGAGAUAGGACUUCAUUCCUGGAAUCAGGCAGGAAUGUGAGCAUGGAAACCACUUUCUUUCAGGCUCUCCCUGGAUUCCUAAGGAUUGUCGUUUCCUAUUAGGAUUCAGCAGGACAGAGGGAGACCCCACACUAAGGCUCUAACACUCAGUGAAUCUUACAGCCAUAUUGGCUACUUUUCUGCUCAACUCCUAACCCCUGAUUUUGGUGGCAAGGGUGGAUCAGGGGUCAGUCAGAACCAUGCAGGCCACAGGAGAGAGCAAACCCUGUUUUGGGGAUCCUCAAAGGGGGUGGUAGGGAGCAUGUCUGGAGUGAGUGGGGCUCUUUCACUGACAAAGCCCUCCCCUGGGUGCAGAGAGGGACGCAGAGCUCUUGAAUUAUCCAUUCUGUCAGGGGAACUUAAGACUUUUUAUUUUUCUUUUCCGAGAGAGGGUCUUGCGUCGCUCAGACUGACGUCAAACUCACUAGAUAGCCAAAGACAGUCUUGAGCUUCUGAUCUUCCUGUCUCUACCUUCUGAGAGCUGGGAUUAUAGGCUCAUGCCACCAAACCCGCUUUACAAGGUGCUGGGGAUGAAACUAGGGCUUCACCAUAGGCCAGCACUCUACCUACACAUCCACAGCCCCCGAGGCACAGGAAAGACUUCUCAGUUCUUUCAGUAAAUGUCUGAGCCAUAGUAAGCCAUGAUGUUCUUUCUCUUCCUAUAGAGAAGGAAAGAAGUACAACUCCUUGCCCUAUCUGGAUCACAGGGGUCCCUGUUCUCAGUCUGGCCUGAGAGGGCUCCAGCUAGGAAAAAGGUGGCCCCUGACAGGCAGGCUGACUGUGGGAGACAUGGGCUGUGAGGAGAGAUGUGAACAUAUCAGUAGUCUAGCCAGGGCCUAGGGGCAGGAUGGGGCCCUGCAGGGUGACCUGUUUUCCCCUCACUUGAGGGAGUUGAAUGUGCACCCCUGCAAGCUCCUGGAAGGCCAGCUAGUAAGCUGUUUCCCACUCUAGCUUCCCACAAGUCUGUGGGCUCCUCAGCCCCCUGCUGAGGUAGCUGCCUCUCUUGGGAACUGGCUUCUGAUGCAGGGGCCAUGGGGAGCUUCCCAAGCCAGACAGACUGCAGGCUGGCGCCGGCCAGCCCCUUCCUCUCCAGCCACUAGGGCCUGCGGCAGCUCUGUAGAACAGGGCAGCCGGUAUGGCAGAGAGCCCAGAGUGGGAGGGCGGCUGCUUCUGGGUCACCUCCCCUGGGCCGGUGCCCUCUGCCAAGGGGCUCUGGCAGAACCACUCCAAGGGGCAUGGAGAAGGAUGGACGCUCUCCCCCGGGGCCCCAACUAUUGGGCCAGCAGGAAGUAGAGAGGUCCAGCUGUGGUCCACAGACCUUGGAGUCUUGGCUUGGGGUUGCUCUGAGGGGGCACAGAACGGGGCCCAGGGAAGCCUUGCAGCCCCUGGGCCCCAAGCAGCAGCGCCUAGAGGCCUGGGCGGCAGGAAAGGGAAAGGUGACGUCAUUGCCGCCUGGAAUCUGCUGUUUGGAGGCGUCGCCAUGGAGACCGGAAGGCUCAGGGAUGAAAGCUGUAAAGUUUCUAAGUAACAGACCGGGCUGUUCCUCAGUGCUCAAAUGCCUGGCUCACACGCAACACCUUGGGUCUACGCUAGCACCACACGGGUACAUAAAACCAAAGUGCUGUGUCGGUUUUGUCCAGGAACAUUAACAGUGAUUGAUUUCAGUUUAAAACAUUUUUAUGGAGGCCGGAGAGUUCGCUACAAGACGGCGAAGAGCACUUGUUGCUGUCGCAGAGGACCUGGGUUCUAUUCUGAGCGCACACACACAGCGGCUCACGGUCGUCUGUCAACGCCAGUCCCAUGGGACCUGACGCGCACCCUCUGCUGAACUCAGCAGUCAGCAGGCAUAUACAAGGUGUACAAACAGUGAUGCAGACAACACACACACACACACACACACACACACACACACACACUAAUAAAAUAAAUAAACUAAAAAUGUUAAAAAAUAUA